This 584-nucleotide ribosomal RNA is filed under the name uncultured Pseudomonadota bacterium. RNAcentral's name for it is "bacterial SSU rRNA". It matches the Rfam family "Bacterial small subunit ribosomal RNA", at positions 102 to 683 of the family's 1533-position model. The record is from RNAcentral. Lineage: Bacteria; Pseudomonadati; Pseudomonadota.
ACGGGUGAGUAAUAUAUCGGAACGUGCCCAGUUGUGGGGGAUAGCCCGGCGAAAGCCGGAUUAAUACCGCAUACGACCUGAGGGUGAAAGCGGGGGAUCGCAAGACCUCGCGCAAUUGGAGCGGCCGAUAUCAGAUUAGCUAGUUGGUGGGGUAAAGGCCUACCAAGGCGACGAUCUGUAGCUGGUCUGAGAGGACGACCAGCCACACUGGGACUGAGACACGGCCCAGACUCCUACGGGAGGCAGCAGUGGGGAAUUUUGGACAAUGGGCGCAAGCCUGAUCCAGCCAUGCCGCGUGCGGGAAGAAGGCCUUCGGGUUGUAAACCGCUCUUGUCAGGGAAGAAACGGUCUGAUCUAAUAAAUUGGACUAAUGACGGUACCUGAAGAAUAAGCACCGGCUAACUACGUGCCAGCAGCCGCGGUAAUACGUAGGGUGCAAGCGUUAAUCGGAAUUACUGGGCGUAAAGCGUGCGCAGGCGGCUAUGCAAGACAGAUGUGAAAUCCCGGGCUCAACCUGGGAACUGCAUUUGUGACUGCAUGGCUAGAGUACGGUAGAGGGGGAUGGAAUUCCGCGUGUAGCAGUG